This is a long non-coding RNA of Schistocerca gregaria, 651 nucleotides long. RefSeq lists it as uncharacterized. The transcript is spliced from 2 exons. The record is from RefSeq and is a predicted model, not a curated record. NCBI's taxonomy places the organism in Eukaryota, Metazoa, Arthropoda, Insecta, Orthoptera, Acrididae.
AUCCAUCAGUCACUGCUGAGCAGACCCUAUUUGGACACCAAUUUUUCUCUGACCGGCACAAGAUGGGUCGCGUUCGUACCAAAACCGUGAAAAAGGCGGCUCGGUUGAUAGUGGAAAAGUACUACACCGAGCUGACCACGGACUUUCCCACUAACAAGAGGAUAUGCUCAGAAGUCGCUCUGAUUUCCUCCAAGAAGACCAGGAACAAAAUCGCUGGGUUCGUGACUCAUUUGAUCAACAGAAUUGAACGUGGCCCCGUCCGUGGAAUUUCCUUGCGCCUUCAAGAAGAAGAGCGCGAGCGCCGAGAAAACAUCAUUCCAGAGCGUUCUGUAAUGGAAGACAGGGUAGCCAGUCUUCAGGUGGACAAAGACACCCUAUCUAUGCUCGAAAAAAUGGGGAUCACAAGCGUUCCAGAAACGCCAUCUUCGAUCUCUAACCAACAUGGACAGUACCAUAGCUAUGGACACUUUCACAGUAUGAGAAGGAUGAGAGAGCGCAGACAAAGAGAUCGAGACGAAAUUGAUUUUUCGGCUAAAAUGCAUCGCCGAGAACGUCGAUACACGCCUGUCGCAACUGCACCCCCCGUCGCAACAACGUCGGAGCCCGCCGCAGUCCCCGUCACCGAAUAAAAAGAAAGUUAAUGCAAAUACA